This 449-nucleotide ribosomal RNA is filed under the name uncultured bacterium. Its description in RNAcentral is "bacterial SSU rRNA". It matches the Rfam family "Bacterial small subunit ribosomal RNA", at positions 329 to 793 of the family's 1533-position model. The record is from RNAcentral.
UGCCAGACUCCUACGGGAGGCAGCAGUGGGGGAUAUUGCACAAUGGGGGAAACCCUGAUGCAGCGACGCCGCGUGUGGGAAGACGGUCCUCUGGAUUGUAAACCACUGUCCCCAGGGACGAAGAUGACGGUACCUGGGGAGGAAGCUCCGGCUAACUACGUGCCAGCAGCCGCGGUAAUACGUAGGGAGCGAGCGUUGUCCGGAUUUACUGGGUGUAAAGGGAGCGUAGACGGUUCUGCAAGUCUGAAGUGAAAGCCCGUGGCUUAACCGCGGAACGGCUUUGGAAACUGUGGAACUGGAGUGCUGGAGAGGCAAGCGGAAUUCCUAGUGUAGCGGUGAAAUGCGUAGAUAUUAGGAGGAACACCAGUGGCGAAGGCGGCUUGCUGGACAGUAACUGACGUUGAGGCUCGAAAGCGUGGGGAGCAAACAGGAUUAGAUACCCCAGUACG